This 426-nucleotide ribosomal RNA is filed under the name uncultured bacterium. RNAcentral's name for it is "bacterial SSU rRNA". It matches the Rfam family "Bacterial small subunit ribosomal RNA", at positions 29 to 501 of the family's 1533-position model. The record is from RNAcentral.
AACGAACGCUGGCGGCAGGCCUAACACAUGCAAGUCGAACGAGAUCUUCGGAUCUAGUGGCGGACGGGUUAGUAACGCGUGGGAACGUGCCUUUCACUACGGAAUAGUCCCGGGAAACUGGGUUUAAUACCGUAUACGCCCUUCGGGGGAAAGAAUUUCGGUGAAAGAUCGGCCCGCGUUAGAUUAGGUAGUUGGUGGGGUAAUGGCCUACCAAGCCUACGAUCUAUAGCUGGUUUUAGAGGAUGAUCAGCAACACUGGGACUGAGACACGGCCCAGACUCCUACGGGAGGCAGCAGUGGGGAAUCUUAGACAAUGGGGGAAACCCUGAUCUAGCCAUGCCGCGUGAGUGACGAAGGCCCUAGGGUCGUAAAGCUCUUUCGCCAGGGAUGAUAAUGACAGUACCUGGUAAAGAAACCCCGGCUAAC